Molecule: ribosomal RNA, 253 nt
Filed under: uncultured bacterium
Lineage: Bacteria
Description: partial 16S ribosomal RNA
Rfam family: Bacterial small subunit ribosomal RNA
Source: RNAcentral
GACAGAGGGUGCAAACGUUGUUCGGAAUUACUGGGCGUAAAGCGUGUGUAGGCGGUCUUGUAAGUCGGGUGUGAAAGCCCAGGGCUCAACCCUGGAAGUGCACUCGAAACUGCAAGGCUAGAGUACCGGAGAGGUUGGUGGAAUUCUCGGUGUAGAGGUGAAAUUCGUAGAUAUCGAGAGGAACACCGGUGGCGAAGGCGGCCAACUGGACGAGUACUGACGCUGAGACACGAAAGCGUGGGGAGCAAACAGG